GAAAGCCCGGUCUCCAUGCAGGGAUGCGGCGUGAGCAUGCUCACGCCAGCGGACAAGCAUGAGAGACGCCGACCCAUAUGAGCAAAAAAGGAACGCGAACGCAGAGAGCGGGACGAUUUGCGAAUAUGGGGAGGAUUGCGGGAAUCCGAAGGAUGGAGCAAUCCAGGGCUUUC
Molecule: small RNA, 173 nt
Filed under: Marvinbryantia formatexigens DSM 14469
Lineage: Bacteria; Bacillati; Bacillota; Clostridia; Lachnospirales; Lachnospiraceae
Description: Clostridiales-1 RNA
Rfam family: Clostridiales-1 RNA
Source: Rfam by way of RNAcentral